Molecule: ribosomal RNA, 333 nt
Filed under: Leptospira borgpetersenii serovar Ballum
Lineage: Bacteria; Pseudomonadati; Spirochaetota; Leptospiria; Leptospirales; Leptospiraceae
Description: bacterial SSU rRNA
Rfam family: Bacterial small subunit ribosomal RNA
Source: RNAcentral
CACGCAGGCGGUCUGUUAAGUCAGAUGUGAAAUCCCCGGGCUCAACCUGGGAACUGCAUUUGAAACUGGCAGGCUUGAGUCUCGUAGAGGGGGGUAGAAUUCCAGGUGUAGCGGUGAAAUGCGUAGAGAUCUGGAGGAAUACCGGUGGCGAAGGCGGCCCCCUGGACGAAGACUGACGCUCAGGUGCGAAAGCGUGGGGAGCAAACAGGAUUAGAUACCCUGGUAGUCCACGCCGUAAACGAUGUCGACUUGGAGGUUGUGCCCUUGAGGCGUGGCUUCCGGAGCUAACGCGUUAAGUCGACCGCCUGGGGAGUACGGCCGCAAGGUUAAAAC